This 406-nucleotide ribosomal RNA is filed under the name uncultured bacterium. RNAcentral describes it as "partial 16S ribosomal RNA". It matches the Rfam family "Bacterial small subunit ribosomal RNA", at positions 30 to 526 of the family's 1533-position model. The record is from RNAcentral.
AUUGAACGCUGGCGGCAGGCUUAACACAUGCAAGUCGAGCGAGCGGCGGACGGGUGAGUAAUGUCUGGGAACCUGCCUGAUGGAGGGGGAUAACUUCUGGAAACGGUAGCUAAUACCGCAUACCAUCAGAUGGGCCCCGAUGGGAUUUGCUAGUAGGAGGGGUAAUGGCUCACAUAGGCUACGAUCCCUAGCUGGUCUGAGAGGAUGACCAGCCACAUGGGAACUGAUACACGGUCCAGACUCCUACGGGAGGAAGCAUUGGGGAAUAUUGCACAAUGGGCGCAAGCCGAAUGCAGCAAUGCCGCGUGGGGGAAGAAGGCUUUCGGGUUGUAAAGCACUUUCAGCGAGGAGGCGUUACCCGCAGAAGAAGCACCGGCUAACUCCGUGCCAGCAGCCGCGGUAAUUC